GCCGGGCGUGGCGGCCUACGCCUGUAGUCCCAGCUACUUGGGAGGCUGAGGCAGGAGAAUUGCUAGAACCUGGGAGGCAGAGGUUGCAGUGAGCCGAGAUCGCGCCACUGCAUUCUAGCUUGGGUGACAGAGUGAGACUCCGUCUCUU
RNAcentral lists this non-coding RNA (148 nucleotides) under Homo sapiens (human). The record is from Rfam by way of RNAcentral. Lineage: Eukaryota; Metazoa; Chordata; Mammalia; Primates; Hominidae.